CAUAUCCGGGGCUGAGAGAUGAACCUUCCCAUCAUUCACAGAGUCACAUGGAGCGAGAGCAAGGAAGAUCUGAGCUUCCUCCUCAAUUCGCAAGAAUCUCAGAAAGUCAAGUUAGUGGUAUCCAGCAAGCAGAUGCUGUACCUGCUGACAGUCUUUCCUCGAGGAACGCAGAUGAGACCAGAUGAGAUCUUCAGUUUUCAUGUCGACUGACCUCACAUCUUUUGUACAUAGACAUUCAUCGUUUCCUUUUCAAAAACAGGAGUUAUUCUUUUUCAAUUUCCAAUAGCAUCUUCAAUGCAUGUUCAUUACUGUGACAAUGUUGUAUUCAUGACUUUCAGUAGACACAGCUGAAAUCAUUGCUGUCUUUGUUCCAGUUAAAGGCAACAGUUUUAAAUUGCUUUUUACACUACAAUCAGUUUAUUACUGAAUCGAUUAUGGUAUCAGUCUUCAUUUGUUGUCGCAUUUGACAGGUUAGAAAGUUGAAUGCCUGUUGUUUGUACUGUUUUCGAGGCACUAGUGAAAUUCAAGAUGUUAUUUUCCUAAAUCUGGAUAAGUGUUUUUGAAUAAACAGUUCAAAUUCUGAA
Long non-coding RNA from Cyprinus carpio (common carp), 584 nucleotides. RefSeq lists it as uncharacterized. Lineage: Eukaryota; Metazoa; Chordata; Actinopteri; Cypriniformes; Cyprinidae. The record is from RefSeq and is a predicted model, not a curated record. The transcript is spliced from 2 exons.